Molecule: ribosomal RNA, 429 nt
Filed under: Pseudomonadota bacterium
Lineage: Bacteria; Pseudomonadati; Pseudomonadota
Description: Proteobacteria bacterium partial 16S ribosomal RNA
Rfam family: Bacterial small subunit ribosomal RNA
Source: RNAcentral
UGGGGAAUAUUGGACAAUGGGCGAAAGCCUGAUCCAGCCAUGCCGCGUGUGUGAAGAAGGUCUUCGGAUUGUAAAGCACUUUAAGUUGGGAGGAAGGGCAGUAAGCGAAUACCUUGCUGUUUUGACGUUACCGACAGAAUAAGCACCGGCUAACUCUGUGCCAGCAGCCGCGGUAAUACAGAGGGUGCAAGCGUUAAUCGGAAUUACUGGGCGUAAAGCGCGCGUAGGUGGUUCGUUAAGUUGAAUGUGAAAGCCCCGGGCUCAACCUGGGAACUGCAUCCAAAACUGGCGAGCUAGAGUAGGGCAGAGGGUGGUGGAAUUUCCUGUGUAGCGGUGAAAUGCGUAGAUAUAGGCAGGAACACCAGUGGCGAAGGCGACCACCUGGGCUCAUACUGACACUGAGGUGCGAAAGCGUGGGGAGCAAACAGG